RNAcentral lists this unclassified non-coding RNA (372 nucleotides) under uncultured Gammaproteobacteria bacterium. Its description in RNAcentral is "contains 16S-23S intergenic spacer region". Lineage: Bacteria; Pseudomonadati; Pseudomonadota; Gammaproteobacteria. The record is from RNAcentral.
UCCGGUUUGUCACCGGCAGUCUCAUUAGAGUGCCCUUUCGUAGCAACUAAUGACAAGGGUUGCGCUCGUUGCGGGACUUAACCCAACAUCUCACGACACGAGCUGACGACAGCCAUGCAGCACCUGUGUUCAGGUUCCCUUACGGGCACAAUCACAUCUCUGCGAUCUUCCUGACAUGUCAAGGGUAGGUAAGGUUUUUCGCGUUGCAUCGAAUUAAUCCACAUAAUCCACCGCUUGUGCGGGUCCCCGUCAAUUCCUUUGAGUUUUAAUCUUGCGACCGUACUCCCCAGGCGGUCAACUUCACGCGUUAGCUGCGUUACCAAGAGAUUGCUCUCCCGACAACUAGUUGACAUCGUUUAGGGCAUGGACUAC